ACUACCUACGGGGCGCAGCAGUGAGGAAUAUUGGUCAAUGGGCGCGAGCCUGAACCAGCCAAGUCGCGUGAGGGAAGACGGUCCUAUGGAUUGUAAACCUCUUUUGUCGGGGAGCAAAAGACGCCACGCGUGGCGUUCCGAGAGUACCCGAAGAAAAAGCAUCGGCUAACUCCGUGCCAGCAGCCGCGGUAAUACGGAGGAUGCGAGCGUUAUGCGGAUUUAGUGGGUUUAAAGGGUGCGCAGGCGGAAGAUCAAGUCAGCGGUAAAAUUGAGAGGCUAAACCUCUUCGAGCCGUUGAAACUGGG
This 305-nucleotide ribosomal RNA is filed under the name uncultured bacterium. Its description in RNAcentral is "bacterial SSU rRNA". It matches the Rfam family "Bacterial small subunit ribosomal RNA", at positions 334 to 637 of the family's 1533-position model. The record is from RNAcentral.